This is a ribosomal RNA of 1528 nucleotides. It matches the Rfam family "Bacterial small subunit ribosomal RNA". The record is from Rfam.
ACAAUGAAGAGUUUGAUCCUGGCUCAGGAUGAACGCUAGCUACAGGCUUAACACAUGCAAGUCGAGGGGCAGCAUGGUCUUAGCUUGCUAAGGCCGAUGGCGACCGGCGCACGGGUGAGUAACACGUAUCCAACCUGCCGUCUACUCUUGGACAGCCUUCUGAAAGGAAGAUUAAUACAAGAUGGCAUCAUGAGUCCGCAUGUUCACAUGAUUAAAGGUAUUCCGGUAGACGAUGGGGAUGCGUUCCAUUAGAUAGUAGGCGGGGUAACGGCCCACCUAGUCUUCGAUGGAUAGGGGUUCUGAGAGGAAGGUCCCCCACAUUGGAACUGAGACACGGUCCAAACUCCUACGGGAGGCAGCAGUGAGGAAUAUUGGUCAAUGGGCGAGAGCCUGAACCAGCCAAGUAGCGUGAAGGAUGACUGCCCUAUGGGUUGUAAACUUCUUUUAUAAAGGAAUAAAGUCGGGUAUGGAUACCCGUUUGCAUGUACUUUAUGAAUAAGGAUCGGCUAACUCCGUGCCAGCAGCCGCGGUAAUACGGAGGAUCCGAGCGUUAUCCGGAUUUAUUGGGUUUAAAGGGAGCGUAGAUGGAUGUUUAAGUCAGUUGUGAAAGUUUGCGGCUCAACCGUAAAAUUGCAGUUGAUACUGGAUAUCUUGAGUGCAGUUGAGGCAGGCGGAAUUCGUGGUGUAGCGGUGAAAUGCUUAGAUAUCACGAAGAACUCCGAUUGCGAAGGCAGCCUGCUAAGCUGCAACUGACAUUGAGGCUCGAAAGUGUGGGUAUCAAACAGGAUUAGAUACCCUGGUAGUCCACACGGUAAACGAUGAAUACUCGCUGUUUGCGAUAUACUGCAAGCGGCCAAGCGAAAGCGUUAAGUAUUCCACCUGGGGAGUACGCCGGCAACGGUGAAACUCAAAGGAAUUGACGGGGGCCCGCACAAGCGGAGGAACAUGUGGUUUAAUUCGAUGAUACGCGAGGAACCUUACCCGGGCUUAAAUUGCAGAUGAAUUACGGUGAAAGCCGUAAGCCGCAAGGCAUCUGUGAAGGUGCUGCAUGGUUGUCGUCAGCUCGUGCCGUGAGGUGUCGGCUUAAGUGCCAUAACGAGCGCAACCCUUGUUGUCAGUUACUAACAGGUUCCGCUGAGGACUCUGACAAGACUGCCAUCGUAAGAUGUGAGGAAGGUGGGGAUGACGUCAAAUCAGCACGGCCCUUACGUCCGGGGCUACACACGUGUUACAAUGGGGGGUACAGAGGGCCGCUACCACGCGAGUGGAUGCCAAUCCCCAAAACCUCUCUCAGUUCGGACUGGAGUCUGCAACCCGACUCCACGAAGCUGGAUUCGCUAGUAAUCGCGCAUCAGCCACGGCGCGGUGAAUACGUUCCCGGGCCUUGUACACACCGCCCGUCAAGCCAUGGGAGCCGGGGGUACCUGAAGUGCGUAACCGCGAGGAGCGCCCUAGGGUAAAACUGGUGACUGGGGCUAAGUCGUAACAAGGUAGCCGUACCGGAAGGUGCGGCUGGAACACCUCCUUU